RNAcentral lists this long non-coding RNA (2727 nucleotides) under Zea mays. RNAcentral's name for it is "long non-coding RNA (ZMAY_LNC002018)". Lineage: Eukaryota; Viridiplantae; Streptophyta; Magnoliopsida; Poales; Poaceae. The record is from RNAcentral.
ACGACCAGACGCUAGGGCUGGGCAAGGCGCCGCCGCAGCUCUGGCACUAGAGACCGGCCGACUGCACCGCCGCGCCACCGCCAGCGUGUGCCACUUCGACCCCGCCACCGCGCCACAACUGCUUCCGUGCAAGUCUGCAGCCAGCCAGCCAGCCAGGCGCUGUUCACCCGCGCUCGCACGAUGCAGCUGCCCCAUGCCAGCAGGUCCGGUCCCAACUCGUCGCCACCCGUCGUCGUCGCCGGCUCGUCGUCAUCGGCUCCGGCGUCUCGGCAACAACAAUCGGAGGCGCCUCGCGGUCGAACUCUCGCGCCGUGGCCCCGGUUUGCAGCCCCUCGCUCUCUUCUAAGGUAUUGUUGCUUUCUAGUUUUUUAUGUAUUUGACUAGCACAAUCUACCAGUAACUUUGUUCUUAUGCUUUGUGAUGGACAAUAACAGCACCAUGGAUGUGGAUAAUAUUUGUGAUAUUGACAACAAUGUGUCUAAUGAAGAUGAGAUACAUGGUAUUGGGGGGGGGGGGAUGUUAAUGGCAAUGACAGUGACCACAUGGAGGAGGAGGAUCAUGUUCUUACACCUACUGGUAGUGAGGUGAAUGUCAGAAAAAACAAAUCCAUAGAUGGAGACAAUCGUGUGGUGAAACGACUACUAGCAACCAAGUCAACUAGUACCUCUACAAGCAAGUUUAUGGCAUCAGCAUUUAAAGCAACAAGGUCAAACAAGAGCACAGAUUUAGUGCCUCAACCUCAAGUUUCGAAAGGUGUCCUUUUUACUUUGUUUGUUUCAUUUUCAAGUGAAUGCAAAUGUAUAUUAACAUAUUCUUUUUUGUUAUAGUUGCACAAGAUGCAAGUGCGAGUGCAAGUGAAAAUGCAAGCAUAGCUGCAAGUGUCCAAAUAAGCACUGAAGAUGAUUGUGAUGAAGAAUUAGAUGUCAAGAAAAAGAAGCUCACUUCAUGGGUUUGGGAGCAUUUUACAAGGUAUGAUGUAGAAGUGGAGCAAAAUGAUGGUUCCAUUGUUAAGCAAAAGUGGGCAAAAUGCAAAAAAAUGUCCACAUAAAGCUAAGGCCGAUAGUUCGAAUGGCACAAAGGCUUUUAGUAACCAUUUAAAGCUGAGGCAUAAGAUUUUGAAGGGUCAACAACACUUAACUCAGAAUGGGGAUACUAUACAAACAUAUAAAUAUGAUGAGAAUUUUAGUGUGAGACUGCUCUAUUAUGCCAUCAUCAUGCAUGAGUAUCCUUUUAGUAUUGCCCAACACAAGUACUUGGUGAAAUUUAUCAAAUCACUGCGACCAUCAUUUCCUUUGAAGUCUCGUGUUACUGUUCGUAAAGAGAUCAUGGAUCUUUAUAUUGAGGAAAAGAAUAUGUUGUAUGCACAAUUCAAAAAUCACUGCGACCAUCUUUGAAGUCUUGGUUGAAUGCAUUAAACAUCAGCAAGUGUUUGAAGAAGUUCUAUGAUGUCACAUUACUUUUUUCUAGCACUUCAUAUCCUACUGCAAAUCAUUUCUUUCGUAAAUUUUCUGAGAUAAAGAUGGCUAUUGCAAGAUGGUGUGAUAGUAGUGAUCCCAUAAUCUGCACUAUGGCAUACUCUAUGAGAGACAAGUUUGAUAAGUACUGGGAGAUGAACAAUAUGGCUUUGGCAGUGGGAGCAUUUCUUGAUCCUAGGUACAAACACAGAAUGGUUGAGCUAUACAUGUCUAAGAUGUAUGAUAGUGAGAUGGCCGAGUUGGAGAAAAUGACAUUCAUGAAUGUUAUCAAUGAAUUAUUUGCAUUCUAUUCAUCAACCAUCAAUGCAAAAUCAACUAAUAAGGGUACUAGCUCGAAGGAUUCUGUGGCAAGCAAAAAUGUUGUUUUGAUGGAUGACGAUGAUGAGAAUGAGGUUAAUCUUGAUGAGUUAUAUGCAGCAACAAACAAUGUGAAGAAAGUGUCUGAAUUGGAUCUUUACAUGAGUGACGGCCUAGUGAAGGCUAAUGAAGGUGAUGCACCAUUUGAUGCCUUAUCAUGGUGGAAGGGGCAAGUGACAAAUUUUCCUAUUCUUUCUAGCCUUGCUCGUGAUGUACUAUCAAUGCAAGUGUCAACUGUUGCUUCAGAGUCGGCAUUUAGCUCUGGUGGACGUGUGGUUGAUUCCUUCCGUUCGAAGCUUAAACCUAAAAUUAUUGAAGCCUUGGUUUGUACUAAGGAUUGGAAGCUUGCUUCAGACAAAGGUUUUAUUUUCUUGUACAUGUGUUCUUGUAUUUUUUUUGUAAAUGAUGAUGAUGGCUACUACUGAUAUGUUUUAUUGUUCUCUAUUGAUUUCAGAUUUGGAGGGUGAAAUAAAAACUAUAAGUGAAGCUAUGAAUGCUAUGGAGGUGGACGAUGAGGUUGCGACUUGAGAUCUUCAAGCAAGCAUGGAUUGCUUGCACUAUCUUAUGUUAUUUAAAAACUAUCCUUUAUUGUAAUAGUCUAUUGUGUUGAACUGUCUUGUGCUAUGUUAAACUCUUGGGUGAUGUGAACUUAUGAACGAUUGUGUUAGACUAUUGUAUGGUGUGAACUUAUUGCUAUAUUGUGUUGUUGAUCUAUGGUUUAUGUAAUGCUAUAUUGUAUGAUGUGUUGAAUGAUGUGAACUUAUUGCUAUAUUAUCAUGUUGAACUAUUGUCUUGUAUGAUGUGAAUUUAUUGUUAUAUUGUCAUGCUAGAGUACUAUAUUGUAUGAUGUAAACUUAUUGAUAUAUUAUUAUGUUAGAGUACUAUGUUGUAUGAU